UCUGACACAAUAUCCUCUGAUCGUUGCUGUGUUUAAUGUAAAACGUUUGAUUUUUUAAAAUGUUCUCUUUGUUUAAUUAGCUUCGGCCUGCAGGCAAAGCCACUGUUUUAAAGAAAAACAUGUAAAUGUGGUUGUCUUCAACUAGCAAUACCAGUAAAGAGUCAGAGAAGACAGCAGUGCACAACUCAUCUGGCUCCAGAGGAAAACUUUCAACAGCACCACUGCUGACCUGCAGCAAAAAUUCAGAUGUUGAGAUGUUGGCUGAGAUGGGCCAACAGUCUGCAGGGACAGCAAAACAUAACAGCAGAGGAUGAAGGUAAGGGAUUUAUUCCUCGUUCAGAAAUGCAGCUCUUCCAAUGGAGAAGGUAAUAUUUUAAAGCAUUAUGUUAUUUGAUUUUGAUUAGGACUAAAUAGGUCUUUAUUUGUACCUACAAACACACUUCCUGCUUCAUUUUGGAACAUAAAUGAGAAGAAGUGGUGUACCUACUGUAUUCUGCUUACUUUUAGAAAGAAGUGAAAAACCAGAACCUCUACAACCCAUCCAUCAUCCGCUUCCUGCUGUGUAGAUCCAAGAGUCACCUACUUCCUCGGCCAGCUGUCAUCUAAAAGGGAGCAGCUACAGGAUGUAAUCCCUUGCAUCAUCAGUAAAGCCUGUGGAAAUGAAGAUUAUCCCUGUCUUCUCUUGACACAUUUGUACAUUACUGCAGUCUUUUUUACUUUAACAUAGAGGCGAUAUUCAAACUUUGACGUUUUUUACUUUUUUUUUGUUUUCAUUUGAUUAAAAGCCAGAAAUAAAUGUUCUGCACCUGUUGGCCUGCUGCUUAUCCCUGUGGCCCAUGGUGCAGUGCUGCAUCUCUGGUCAGUUGGUAGUCUGAGAUGAAGCACUGUAGCUCGGGACGGAGGACAGACAGACCUGUUGAAGUAUGUCAAAAUAAGGAAGCAGCAUCUAUCAUGGUCUUUGGGACUGUGAUAUGUUUCUCUAAGAGGAUCUGGAACCCAUGGAGAUUUAACGAGAGAACCAUUCUGUCAUAUUUUCUGUUUGUAUUGCUUCUUUCUUGCAUAUAAACUCCUGUUGAGGACAGAAAAAAACUUAAGUCACAUCGUUUUUUGUUUGGAAGUACAAUUCUAAACAGCCACCCUUGUUUUUUGAUUACCCUUUUCUCUGGGGUCCAGUUUUCCCAGGAAUCCCUUCACUUAACAGAAAGGGGGAUUCCUGGAAAUACUGAUCUUGGGGGCGAGGCUUCUCACCAUGCCCAGAGGCAUUUAGUAUUUAACAAGUAUUAAGAAUUAAUACCAUGAUUUCUGUGUGCUGUAAAGAAGAAAAUUUAAAAAGGCUGGCAACAAAGAUAAAUCUGAAAAAAGACAAAGUGUUUCAGGUUCCUUGUAUUUUACCUGCAUAUAACUGCCAAUUGUACUUGUAAUGUCUUUGGUUUUGACAGAAUAAAGAAAAUAGUUUAAAUAAUAGGAUUGUUAUUUUUGUUCUGUGCUUUCUCAUAUUCAAUUCCCCAACAAUAAAAAAAGGUGUUUAUUACAGAAAAUCAAGAUCUAGUGACAAGUGGAUCACUAUUAGUUACAAAACAUGUUUUUUUUAAUCAUUUUGUAUGUAAAACCUCUAUUUUGUUUUUCUAAUAAAGCAGUUUAAAAAUUC
Girardinichthys multiradiatus is the source of this 1648-nucleotide long non-coding RNA. RefSeq lists it as uncharacterized. The record is from RefSeq and is a predicted model, not a curated record. The transcript has 2 exons. Lineage: Eukaryota; Metazoa; Chordata; Actinopteri; Cyprinodontiformes; Goodeidae.